UACAUGCAAGUCGAACGUGAAGCUGACUUCGGUCAGUGGAAAGUGGCGGACGGGUGAGUAAUACAUAGGAAAUCUGCCCUUAGGAAGGGGAUAACAGUCGGAAACGAUUGCUAGUACCCUAUAUGAGCUUGGUUGCAAUACCAAUCUUGAAAACUCCGGUGCCUAAGGAUGAGCCUGUGCCUGAUUAGCUUGUUGGUGGUGUAAUGGACCACCAAGGCGACGAUCAGUAGCUGGUUUGAGAGGAUGAUCAGCCACAAUGGAACUGAGACACGGUCCAUACUCCUACGGGAGGCAGCAGUAGGGAAUUUUUGGGCAAUGGGCGAAAGCCUGAACCCCAGCAACGCCGCGUGUGUGAUGAAGCCCCUAGGGGUGUAAAACACUGUCAGUAGGGAAGAAACUUGACUGUACCUACAGAGGAAGCACCGGCUAACUCCGUGCCAGCCGCAGC
RNAcentral lists this ribosomal RNA (448 nucleotides) under uncultured bacterium. RNAcentral's name for it is "bacterial SSU rRNA". It matches the Rfam family "Bacterial small subunit ribosomal RNA", at positions 52 to 518 of the family's 1533-position model. The record is from RNAcentral.